This 513-nucleotide ribosomal RNA is filed under the name uncultured bacterium. RNAcentral describes it as "partial 16S ribosomal RNA". It matches the Rfam family "Bacterial small subunit ribosomal RNA", at positions 28 to 523 of the family's 1533-position model. The record is from RNAcentral.
GACGAACGCUGGCGGCAUGCCUAAUACAUGCAAGUCGAGCGAACAGAUGAAGUGCUUGCACCUCUGACGUUAGCGGCGAACGGGUGAGUAACACGUAAGGAAUCUACCUAUAAGCGGAGGAUAACAUUCGGAAACGGGUGCUAAUACCGCAUAAUAUCUUCUUCCGCAUGGAAGAAGAUUGAAGUACGGCUCUGCUGUCACUUAUAGAUGAACUUGCGGUGAAUUAGUUAGUUGGUGGGGUAAAGGCCUACCAAGACGAUGAGGCAUAGCUGACCUGAGAGGGUGAUCGGCAACAUUGGGACUGAGACACGGCCCAAACUCCUACGGGAGGCAGAAGUAGGGAAACUUCCGCAAUGGGCGAAAGCCUGACGGAGCAAUGCCGCGUGAGUGAAGAAGGCCUUCGGGUCGUAAAACUCUGUUAUAAGAGAAGAACAAAUUGUAGAGUAACUGCUACAGUCUUGACGGUAUCUUAUCAGAAAGCCACGGCUAACUACGUGCCAGCAGCCGCGGUAA